This is a long non-coding RNA of Heterocephalus glaber (naked mole-rat), 494 nucleotides long. RefSeq lists it as uncharacterized. Lineage: Eukaryota; Metazoa; Chordata; Mammalia; Rodentia; Bathyergidae. The record is from RefSeq and is a predicted model, not a curated record.
CCCGUUCCGAAGGAAGAGAGGGCUAGGGCUGGGGCUGGGAAACGGCCGUAACCGGCGAGCCCCCUCGCUUCUGCGGGGCCCUGCGCCCCGUGUCGUCAUCGGAGACGGCCAGGGAGGCCCGCCUGGCUCCGUCGGACCCGGCUCCUCACACCCACCUGCCUCCCCCGGCGGCCCCCGCGCCGGCUCCCGCAGCCCCGCCGCCAGCUCCUGCUCCCGGCCGCAGCGCCAUCUUCCUCAGACCCGCCGCCGCCGCGCCAGCAGCUGUCAGCCGGACAGCUUCCCUUUGGCAUCCAUCUCAAGCCACCAAAGAGACCUGCUUACUCAAUGGAUAAAGGACAAUCAAGCCUCAGGAAAGAUAAGUUGUAAGAGAAUGAAGCCAGAAGUGUACUGAGUGAUAUGAAUGUUCUUCCUUAUCUAGAUAAAACAUUUUUCAGUUUUUGAACAAAAUCAUCUUAAAUGAAGAGACAAGAAAGAGCAUGAUUAAAUGAUGGAGA